RNAcentral lists this ribosomal RNA (510 nucleotides) under Rhynchogastrema fermentans. Its description in RNAcentral is "eukaryotic LSU rRNA". It matches the Rfam family "Eukaryotic large subunit ribosomal RNA", at positions 89 to 607 of the family's 3401-position model. Lineage: Eukaryota; Fungi; Basidiomycota; Tremellomycetes; Tremellales; Rhynchogastremaceae. The record is from RNAcentral.
GCGAGUGAACCGGGAUGAGCUCAAAUUUGAAAUCUGGCGUCCUCAGGGCGUCCGAGUUGUAAUCUAUAGAGGCGUUUUCCGUGCCGGACCGUGUCCAAGUCCCUUGGAACAGGGUAUCAAAGAGGGUGACAAUCCCGUACUUGACACGACGACCGGUGCUCUGUGAUACGUCUUCUACGAGUCGAGUUGUUUGGGAAUGCAGCUCAAAAUGGGUGGUGAGUUCCAUCUAAAGCUAAAUAUUGGCGAGAGACCGAUAGCGAACAAGUACCGUGAGGGAAAGAUGAAAAGCACUUUGGAAAGAGAGUUAAACAGUACGUGAAAUUGUUGAAAGGGAAACGAUUGAAGUCAGUCGUGACUGUUGGGCUCAGCAGGUUCUGCCUGUGUAUUCCCUUCAGUCGGGUCAACAUCAGUUUUGACCGGUGGAUAAGGGCAGCAGGAAUGUGGCACCUCUGGGUGUGUUAUAGCCUGUCGUCGCAUACAUCGGUCGAGACUGAGGAACGCAGCUCGCCC